Non-coding RNA from Zootoca vivipara (common lizard), 190 nucleotides. The record is from RefSeq and is a predicted model, not a curated record. NCBI's taxonomy places the organism in Eukaryota, Metazoa, Chordata, Lepidosauria, Squamata, Lacertidae.
AUCACUUCUCGGCCUUUUGGCGAAGAUCAGUGUAGUAUCUGUUCUUAUCAGUUUAAUAGCUGAUAUGUCCUCUAUUUGAGGACUAUAUAUUAAAUUGAUUUUUGGAGCUAGUUUUUAAUAGCUGAUUUUUUAUCUUUUGUUGGAAGCCGCCCAGAGUGGCUGGGGAAACUCAGCCAGAUGGGCAGGGUAC